UCCUUUUUUAAAAAAAAAAAUUAUGUACCCUGCUCUUUGCCAUUCUCAGUGCUGGAUUCUUGUGUCGUCUUCGUCUCCGACACGGUGUAGGAGGAGAUCAAACCUUGGACAAUUUUCUUGAACUAUCGUGUCCAUAUGUUGUGUCGGCUGUAAAAGCUACCUUCCUGUGGAUCAUUCAGUGUAUAUAUCUCCUGGAUUGGUUUUUGGGCAUGGAAGGAAGCAAAAACCUAAUCAUGUCACUGGUCCAACGGGAGCUAAUGCUGAUGAAAGUAUCUGUUUUGAUUGCAACAUAUGUUUAGACACGGCACCCGAUCUGGUCUGGACACCCUUUUCUACUGGCCUUGCAUCUACCAGUGGUUGCAUGUCCAAAUGUAUUCUCUCUCCGAUGAUAACAUCUCCAUCAGUUCAUUGGUGGUGGAAGAGGCUUGUCUUCUUCCACAUUUGACCCAGGAAAACAUGAUCAUACCGGGUGAUCUGACUCACUUCAUCUUCAGCACCAUUCCCCUCGUUACCAUGUUGGCUUCACAGCUACGAAAAUCAACCGAUCUUUGCCAGUGCGGUGAUGAUGAGUUUUGGAAUGUUGGGCCAAAUUCCCUAUUCCAGCCGGAGGGUGAGAAAUCGAGAAAUGCAGCUUGAGAAGUUCCUUCAUCGGGUAUCAAUCUUUCUCCUCGCAGUUAUCCCGUCUUCUAGCUCUCGUCUUGUAUAGUUUGUGAUGCAGAUAUAAUGGUAAGUCACUAUGAUAUAGAAUUACAGACAAUUGUUUCGAUUAGGUGCAGGCCAUUAACCGUAUACAUACAUACAUACAUCUAUAUAUAUAUGCACACACUCAUUCGAGCAUGUAUCCCUGUAAGCUACACAUGCUCGAGAGGCUUAUGAACAUUUUAGACCCUUUGUCUUGUUUUUGUU
Molecule: long non-coding RNA, 906 nt
Organism: Tarenaya hassleriana
Lineage: Eukaryota; Viridiplantae; Streptophyta; Magnoliopsida; Brassicales; Cleomaceae
Exons: 3
Source: RefSeq, a predicted model, not a curated record